CCCUUUACAUCUUCAUCACAAAAAGUGAUUACAUUACCGACCCUCUGCCUCUUCGCGACGGCUGCCCCUGACGCUUCAGUCGAGCCCCCUGCGUUCCUCUCGGGCCGGGGGCAGCCCCCAGUGAUAGUGUGGAUCACGCCCGCGACGGGUCGAUUCUGCUCCCGAGGCUCCUGAGGGGCCGGGUCGACCGGACGCGAGUCUGCG
This 204-nucleotide long non-coding RNA is filed under the name Phoenix dactylifera (date palm). Its description in RNAcentral is "long non-coding RNA (PDAC_LNC021940)". Lineage: Eukaryota; Viridiplantae; Streptophyta; Magnoliopsida; Arecales; Arecaceae. The record is from RNAcentral.